Molecule: long non-coding RNA, 1022 nt
Organism: Aegilops tauschii subsp. strangulata
Lineage: Eukaryota; Viridiplantae; Streptophyta; Magnoliopsida; Poales; Poaceae
Source: RefSeq, a predicted model, not a curated record
UCCACCUAUUCUCGAGACGCCGCCACCCACCUCCCUUUUCUUCAUCGGGAUCUCCUCAUUCCCCCCCGAUCCAAUCCACCAGCCUCUGCCUCUGCUCGAUCUCCACCGCAAGCCGCAGCCGCCCCUCCUGCUCCCUCCUCGAUCUAGAUCGAGAGGGGUUCGAUCCCCUGCCUCUGCCCGAGCUCCUCCCGCAGCACCCCAUCACCCUCGACCCUGCCUCGUCGGCCGGUCGACACCGGCGACAGGAACAUCGCCGGAGAUGAGUGCCCCGACAGCCCCGCGACCCCUCCUCCCCCUCCUGCGAUUUCCCCCCUCUCUCUCUCUCACGGUGGCCAUCUCUCUCUCUCCUUCACAGGAACGAGCAGGAGCUCGCCAAGCUCCAUGGCGCCGCCUCCUCUGCUUCUUCCCGCGCGCAUGAGCCCAACGGGAGAGGAGCUCCUCCAUGCCGUGUCUGCCUCCCUCCGCCUGCCAAUUCCCUGAACCGCCAGGUCCGCAGGAGCCAAGCUCGUCGACGGCUUCCUCCAGGUCCGGCCGGACUCCCUCCAACCAGCGCCUCCCCGCCGCCUUGCACGCCCACGCCACCGGCGACCAGGACCAGGCCGUCCCCGGGAGAACAGGAACAAGCCCGCCAUGGCCGUGCCUGACCUGCGCCAAGCUCCGCCGCCUCCCUGCCAAGUCCGUUCCGCCGGAGUCCCUUGAAGCAGCCGCGCUGGAUCUCAUCUCCAGCCCCGUCCGCGACCUCCCCGACCCGUGCCGCCGCGAGCCACCUCCUUCCCUUGGAUCCUCGCCGCCUUCGCCCUGCUCGCCUCCUCUGCUUCGUUGGAGUAGGGAGGACGACGCACCUCUGCUCGCUGCGUUGACCGCGCCUUCCUCGCCUACGUGGACCGCGACCACGACUUAGGCCCAGCGCGCCAGCCUCCCUUGCCGGCCUCACCUCACCGUCGAACCGGGCCGUGGCCCAUGUUGUGAGGACUCGUUCGACUACGUCCGUUUGUCUUCUUCAUGGACUCGUUCUUCUUCCU